UGCUAGGAAGCUAAACAGGGUGCCAGGCAGU
This 31-nucleotide non-coding RNA is filed under the name Rattus norvegicus (Norway rat). The record is from RNAcentral. Lineage: Eukaryota; Metazoa; Chordata; Mammalia; Rodentia; Muridae.